Molecule: long non-coding RNA, 1766 nt
Filed under: Parus major (Great Tit)
Lineage: Eukaryota; Metazoa; Chordata; Aves; Passeriformes; Paridae
Description: lncRNA (ENSPMJG00000013792.1)
Source: RNAcentral
AUCAGUGUGCAUUCAUGGGAACUGAUAGUAGAACAAGGUGUGUGGCUCUUGACAUUAAAGACCAAGUGGUGCAGGAAAGACCUGCCAGAACAUUAUAGUAAUGGAGAAAGUCUCUUACAAUGAUAUGUUCUGAAGGCAGUAUCAAUUUGUCAAAAAGAUCUGCAAGAUUUGCUGUGCUAAAGCUUUUUACAAUGGGAGAAAAUAAUAUAAAGGAAGACUUAGUGGUCGGGAGCUGAGAUAAUGUAAUGCAAAUGUAAUGGUUUUAAUCACAAACAAGCUCCUUAGAUCAGUUUGGGACUUGUAGGAAGACUUACUGGCCUGUGGUGAGAGUAUGUGACCAAAUGAUCCCUUUUAAUCUUAAACUCUUGGAAGUAUUUUAGCUGCAUUCCAAGCAAUUUGGCUGCCCUCACCUUUUUUUGCUCUCCAGUGACUUCAAGCCGGUUGCUAGUUCACCCAUACGGGACUGAUUUCAGUAAUGAAUGACAGACUUUUUUGCAGAAUGAAGGAGAGACUCUCUCUAACAGGGCCCACAUGCCACGUAGCCAGGGAGGAGUUCACUGCAGCUCCCCUCAGGGAUCUUCCAGGCUCUUCAGCCUGUAAAAGCUGUCCUGCAGGUCAGCAAAGAGGAGGUGGUGGCCACUGGAUACCCAGCACACGGCCUGGCAGAGCACUCCAGUGCACGCCCUCCUUCCCUACCUGGUAACAGAUCUCCCUGGUCUUUGUCAGCAGCAGCACAAACAAGUCACCUUUUCUGCAACGUCCAGGACUUCCAUGAAUGCUGCAGAUGAAUCUUGUGGCUGUAUUGGACCCACUGCUCCGUGACAGUGUUUGAGCUGUCAGAGCUCUGAGCAAGACCCUUCAAUCAAGACAUGUAAUGUUUUAUUGAGAACCUUAGUACUGAACUCAUGUGUUUGGGGUUUGGUGGGUUUAUUUUUGUGGGUUUAUUUGGUUUUUUCUUCCCCCUCAUUCUAUUAACUUGUAUUAAUGCUUCAUUUAUUUGUUAGAGUAACCCAAAUCAUCUUCAGCAUGUAGGAAUACAGCGUGCAAGGAACAGAAUCUGCAAGGAGUACAGGACAUAGUAACAUCAUUCUUCUCUCCACAAAUGAACUUCGUGCAUCUUGUUUUUUGGAUAAGGCUGGGAACUAAAGGGGAUUGCACACAGUUACUAGGACAUUUCAUUUUUUAAAAAAUAAGCUGUUCCUCAUUAUAGUAAAGUCAGGUCUUUCAUGUGCCAAAUCUGAAACUUCAAAAACAUGUUUGAUCAGUAAUUAUUCCAAAAUGCUAAAAAAAAUUCCAGAAACUAGUACAUAUAAUUUGGAUUAUAGUCUUCAUUAGAAUUUUCUAUGGCAUGUAUUUGUCAGCCAUGAUUAUAAAAUUUGAAAAAGACUAUGGAAAAUUGAUAACUGAGCACAUCUCCCACCAGCAUAAUUGCAUAAAUAUAUCACAACAUAUUUAUUUAUCAUGUCUAUUUAUUUUUUUUGGUUUUGUCACUUUCGAGCAGGAUGACCUAACAAUCCAUCAAGAGUACUAAAGUCUAUAACUUAAUAGUUUGAAAUUGAUUGUGGUACUGAUUUAAUAUUUGAAGAAGGAGGAUAUGACAGUAAACAAUGUGGGCAGACUUCAGCUCAUUUUCAGAGAGAAGCUUUAAUGUAGUUUUGUGCCAAAAUGAGCCACAGAUGUAAAUGCACUCAUGCAUUUUAGAUAAAGGAAAGUAUUAUUCAAACUGAGGGGAAUAAAAUCAAUUAUAGGUUAUAUGUUCCUUAGCA